GGCGGCGUAGCCAAGGGGUAAGGCGGUGGUCUGCAAAACCACUAUACAGCGGUUCAAAUCCGCUCGCCGCCUCCA
Molecule: transfer RNA, 75 nt
Filed under: Caldifarciminota bacterium JGI_Cruoil_03_44_89
Lineage: Bacteria; Pseudomonadati; Caldifarciminota
Description: tRNA-Cys
Rfam family: tRNA
About the family: Transfer RNA (tRNA) molecules are approximately 80 nucleotides in length.
Source: RNAcentral